GGAGGGUGCAGGGCGGCCGCUGUCGUGAGAACGAUAGAGGAAAGUCCGGACACCGCAGGGCAGGGAGGUCGUUAACGACGACCGGGGGCGACCCCAGGGAAAGGGCCACAGAAAAGGAGACCGCCUCGGGGGAUUUAUUCUCCGGGGCAAGGGUGAAAAGGCGGGGCAAGAGCCCGCCAGGGCGCCGGGUGACCGGCGUCAAUUGGCAACCCCCUCCCGGUGCAAGGCCAAAUAGGUUCCGCAAUAAGUGCGGCCCGUACUUGUUUCCCGCGAGGGAAUGGCGGAACGGGUUGGCCGCUUGAGCCGCGCGGCAACGCGCGGCCCAGUUGAAUGGCCGCCGGCCCGGGAAACCGGGCUUACAGGAUCCGGCUUACGGCGCCCUCCGGUA
RNAcentral lists this RNase P RNA (388 nucleotides) under Deltaproteobacteria bacterium GWB2_55_19. Its description in RNAcentral is "RNase P RNA component class A". It matches the Rfam family "Bacterial RNase P class A". Rfam says of the family: Ribonuclease P (RNase P) is a ubiquitous endoribonuclease, found in archaea, bacteria and eukarya as well as chloroplasts and mitochondria. Its best characterised activity is the generation of mature 5'-ends of tRNAs by cleaving the 5'-leader elements of precursor-tRNAs. Cellular RNase Ps are ribonucleoproteins. RNAcentral also lists the same sequence under 2 other names. Lineage: Bacteria; Deltaproteobacteria. The record is from RNAcentral.